UAGGGAAUCUUCGGCAAUGGACGAAAGUCUGACCGAGCAACGCCGCGUGAGUGAAGAAGGUUUUCGGAUCGUAAAACUCUGUUGGUAGAGAAGAACGUUGGUGAGAGUGGAAAGCUCAUCAAGUGACGGUAACUACCCAGAAAGGGACGGCUAACUGCGUGCCAU
RNAcentral lists this ribosomal RNA (165 nucleotides) under uncultured bacterium. RNAcentral's name for it is "partial 16S ribosomal RNA". It matches the Rfam family "Bacterial small subunit ribosomal RNA", at positions 355 to 511 of the family's 1533-position model. The record is from RNAcentral.